ACUCCAUGAAGCUGGAUUCGCUAGUAAUCGCGCAUCAGCCACGGCGCGGUGAAUACGUUCCCGGGGCCCUUGUACACACCGCCCGUCAAGCCAUGGAAGCCGGGGGGUGCCUGAAGUGCGCUGCCGCAAGGAGCGCCCUAGGGUAAAACCGGUGACUGGGGCUAAGUCGUAACAAGGUACC
This 181-nucleotide ribosomal RNA is filed under the name uncultured bacterium. RNAcentral's name for it is "partial 16S ribosomal RNA". It matches the Rfam family "Bacterial small subunit ribosomal RNA", at positions 1315 to 1500 of the family's 1533-position model. The record is from RNAcentral.